RNAcentral lists this long non-coding RNA (378 nucleotides) under Bos taurus (domestic cattle). Its description in RNAcentral is "long non-coding RNA NONBTAT013605". Lineage: Eukaryota; Metazoa; Chordata; Mammalia; Artiodactyla; Bovidae. The record is from RNAcentral.
UUCUUCCCCAGUAACGUAAUUCAUCUAACAAUUUCAGCUGUAAUUUGAGUAUUUUUUUCCCCUAGCAUCACUUCUGGACUUCCUUUAUCAUUUUCUUAUCCACCCACAGCAACUGACCCAGAUCUGCCAGAAAGUUGAACAUGUACAAAAGGAGGCACCUAAAACCAGAUAACACGAAUUAGUCUGUAAACUAAGAUACUACUGAAGACCUUUCCAAGUGCACCUAGCAGAGGCCUAAGGUAACAGGAGCCGCUCCGCAUCACGUGAUGUAAAAAGAUUUAAGGAUCUUCACAGCUCGUCAUUUUUGUCACAGGAGCUUCUAACAAUGGAUUCCAAUUUUCAUUUUGAACCCGUCACUGUCAGCCCGUUUUAAACGGC